CCCUUAGAUGUUCUGGGCCGCACGCGUGCUACACUGAGUGGAUCAGCGGGUCAGGUUGCGCGAAAGUGUUUCCUAAUCUUGAAAUCCGCUCGUGAUGGGGAUUGACGGUUGCAAUUUUCCGUCAUGAACGAGGAAUACCUUGUAAGCGCGGGUCAUCAUCCCGCGCUGAAUACGUCCCUGCCCUUUGUACACACCGCCCGUCGCUCCUACCGAUUGAGUGGUCCGGUGAGGCUUUGGGAUCUGAGCAAAAAGAGCGUUUCGCUCGUUUGGCUCGGAAAACUCAGUCGAACCUUAUCAUUGAGAGGAAGGAGAAGUCGUAACA
Molecule: ribosomal RNA, 322 nt
Filed under: uncultured eukaryote
Lineage: Eukaryota
Description: partial 18S ribosomal RNA
Rfam family: Eukaryotic small subunit ribosomal RNA
Source: RNAcentral